RNAcentral lists this ribosomal RNA (463 nucleotides) under uncultured bacterium. Its description in RNAcentral is "bacterial SSU rRNA". It matches the Rfam family "Bacterial small subunit ribosomal RNA", at positions 28 to 507 of the family's 1533-position model. The record is from RNAcentral.
GAUGAACGCUGGCGGCGUGCCUAAUACAUGCAAGUCGAACGGAGUGAGUAGAAAUACGAACUUAGUGGCGAACGGGUGAGUAACGCGUUGGUGACCUGCCCCGAAGAGGGGGAUAACAGUUCGAAAGGACUGCGUAAUACCCCAUGUGAUCACUUGGAUUAGAAAAGAGUGAUUAAAAGGAGAAAUCCGCUUUGGGAGGGGCCUGCGUCCCGAUCAGCUAGUUGGUAGGGUAAAGGCCUACCAAGGCGAAGACGGGUAGGGGGCCUGAGAGGGUGACCCCCCACACUGACACUGAAACACGGGUCAGACACCUACGGGUCGGCAGCAGUAGGGAAUAUUGGUAAUCUGGGAAACCGGGAACCAGCAACGCCGCGUGUGCGAUGAAGGCCUUCGGGUUGUAAAGCACUUUUUGAGGGGAUGAGGAAGGACAGUACCCUCAGAAUAAGCCUCGGCUAACUACGUG